CUACGGGGGGCAGCAGGCGCGAAACCUUUACAAUGCACGAAAGUGUGAUAAGGGGAUCCCAAGUGCUUACGCUAAGCGUAGGCUUUUGUCAAGAGUAAAUAUCUUGGCGAAUAAGUGGUGGGUAAGACUGGUGCCAGCAGCCGCGGUAACACCAGCGCCACGAGUGGCAUACACAUUUAUUGGGCUUAAAGCGUCCGUAGCCGGUUUUGUAAAUCUUUUGUGAAAUCAUAGGGCUUAACCCUAUGGCGUGCAGAAGACACUACAAAACUUGGAACCGGGAGGAGUCAGAGGUAUUCUGGGGGGAGCGGUAAAAUGUUAUAAUCCCCGGAGGACCACCUGUGGCGAAGGCGUCUGACUAGAACGGAUUCGACGGUGAGGGACGAAGGCCAGGGGAGCGAACCGGAUUAGAUACCCCUGUAGUC
Molecule: ribosomal RNA, 422 nt
Filed under: uncultured archaeon
Lineage: Archaea
Description: partial 16S ribosomal RNA
Rfam family: Archaeal small subunit ribosomal RNA
Source: RNAcentral